AGGAGUGUAGCUCAACUGGUAGAGCACCGGUCUCCAAANCCGGGGGUUGGGGGUUCGAGCCCCUCCACUCCUGCCA
This 76-nucleotide transfer RNA is filed under the name Parvibaculum sp. RNAcentral's name for it is "tRNA-Trp". It matches the Rfam family "tRNA". From Rfam's summary of the family: Transfer RNA (tRNA) molecules are approximately 80 nucleotides in length. Their secondary structure includes four short double-helical elements and three loops (D, anti-codon, and T loops). Further hydrogen bonds mediate the characteristic L-shaped molecular structure. tRNAs have two regions of fundamental functional importance: the anti-codon, which is responsible for specific mRNA codon recognition, and the 3' end, to which the tRNAs corresponding amino acid is attached (by aminoacyl-tRNA synthetases). tRNAs cope with the degeneracy of the genetic code in two manners: having more than one tRNA (with a specific anti-codon) for a particular amino acid; and 'wobble' base-pairing, i.e. permitting non-standard base-pairing at the 3rd anti-codon position. Lineage: Bacteria; Pseudomonadati; Pseudomonadota; Alphaproteobacteria; Hyphomicrobiales; Parvibaculaceae. The record is from RNAcentral.